GGGUUACUGCCCUGUGCGUGGUUUUCUUUAUUCCCUGGGGCUAUAAUUUUCAUCCGGGGAGCUGUCCCUGUGGAGACCGUGGUCUCUUUAUACGGCGCCCACCUGUCUAUCAGGUUCCGGAGGAUUAAACAUAAAAUCACGGCAGCGAUGGUCCCGC
Molecule: non-coding RNA, 157 nt
Filed under: Emcibacter nanhaiensis
Lineage: Bacteria; Pseudomonadati; Pseudomonadota; Alphaproteobacteria; Emcibacterales; Emcibacteraceae
Description: 6S RNA
Rfam family: 6S / SsrS RNA
About the family: E. coli 6S RNA was the first non coding RNA to be sequenced, but its function was unknown until recently. It consists of 184 nucleotides that fold into an extended hairpin structure with a large single-stranded internal bulge.
Source: RNAcentral